CCUGGCCUGGCAGGUCUGUGAGGGCUCACGGGUUAGCUCCUCCACUUUUCUUUUUUGCUUGUUUAUUUUUCAGUGCCUGUUUCUAUUAAGAUAACCAUGUUCAGAAGGAGAGUCUGAAACACAUAAAUAAUGGGAAGUGCUAAUAGUAAGCAGACUGCUGUAAAAUGUGCUGGGGCUUUGACUUAAGGGAAGAAAGCACAGCACUGUACUGUCCCUGAUCAGGAAGCUGGAGCACUGAAGACUUGACAAGCCUGUUGACAGGAUGGGGCAUUUAGAGGACACUGGCAGCCGAGAGAGCAGCUGGAAAUAACCAUUGGGUCUUUGCCAUGGAACCAAAAAGAGAAGGGUAGAGAGGUUUGCCAUGAUUCUCCAUAGAAUUCACUUAAGAUCAAAAAUGCUGGAGGUUGGAAACAUCCCAGUAAACUACUUCUGUCGAAUCUACAUCAUUGGAUUAUUUUUACCUCCUCACUAAAGAUGGUCGGAGAUGAAGCCAAAUACAAGCAUGAGAGGAAGUUCUAGAGAUGAGAAGCAAAAUUGGCGGGUAUGCACCUGUAUUUCCCUCUCACAUAACAGUGAA
Molecule: long non-coding RNA, 577 nt
Filed under: Numida meleagris (helmeted guineafowl)
Lineage: Eukaryota; Metazoa; Chordata; Aves; Galliformes; Numididae
Description: lncRNA (ENSNMEG00000000987.1)
Source: RNAcentral